RNAcentral lists this ribosomal RNA (442 nucleotides) under uncultured bacterium. Its description in RNAcentral is "bacterial SSU rRNA". It matches the Rfam family "Bacterial small subunit ribosomal RNA", at positions 339 to 796 of the family's 1533-position model. The record is from RNAcentral.
GUACGGGAGGCAGCAGCUAAGAAUCUUGCGCAAUGGGCGAAAGCCUGACGCAGCAAUUCCGCGUGGGGGACGAAGGCCCUCGGGUCGUAAACCCCUUUUGUGAGGGAAGAAGUUCUGACGGUACCUCACGAAUAAGACACGGCUAACUACGUGCCAGCAGCCGCGGUAAUACGUAGGUGUCGAGCGUUGUCCGGAUUUAUUGGGCGUAAAGCGCCCGCAGGCGGCUUGGUAAGUUCGAGGUGAAAUCUCCCGGCUCAACUGGGAGGGUGCCUCGAAAACUAUCAGGCUUGAGGCAGGGAGAGGGAUGUGGAAUUCCCGGUGUAGUGGUGAAAUGCGUAGAUAUCGGGAGGAACACCAGUGGCGAAGGCGGCAUCCUGGCCCUGUCCUGACGCUCAGGGGCGAAAGCGUGGGGAGCAAACCGGAUUAGAUACCCCGGUAGUCC